GUUAGCAGUUGUAGCACUUAACCACUACGCCACCAGGGUUUCCAUCCUAGGCAUUAGCAAACGUAAAUGGCCUGGUAUUUGCUAUUUUGAUUCCAACAACUAUACGAUUGUUCCGAGUGUUCAGAGCAGACCCAAGCCCCCUGGAUACCACAGGUAAGAAUAAUGAAAUAGAACUGUUGCUCUAUUUGUUGGUUUUCAGCACUGAGGCGAUAAUUAAGAAGGAUGACCAGAGGCAUUUGUAUUGUGCCACCAGAGUGGAAAUUCUUGGACCAGCCAAGACAGACUAGAGGGAAAGCAUUUGCCAAGAAUAUUUUCAUGAAUCAAGAAUGGAAGUUGGAGCUUUCAAAGAUGAUCAGGAACGGUGCCAGCUGGUGAUGCGGUAGUGUUUUUCCCAUGACCCACUGGGCAGCCCCCAGGAAACCAAAGUCUGUGAGU
RNAcentral lists this non-coding RNA (435 nucleotides) under Loxodonta africana (African savanna elephant). RNAcentral describes it as "Eukaryotic small subunit ribosomal RNA". It matches the Rfam family "Eukaryotic small subunit ribosomal RNA", at positions 636 to 1112 of the family's 1831-position model. The record is from Rfam by way of RNAcentral. Lineage: Eukaryota; Metazoa; Chordata; Mammalia; Proboscidea; Elephantidae.